GUCCACUUUUCCGGCGAGGUGAACGCGGAAGAGCGGGAGCUGAGGAUUUCCGACUACUCAGAUUGUGGCGCGGCGACUGCUGCAAGAUGGAGGUGGGCUUGGCGGCCGAAGAUGGUCGGGAUGGUCCCCGGGAGCGGCGAGGCUUGGGUGAAGCCGAGAGGCCGCAGCAGAACCACGAAGUGCGGCCUCAGUCCGGGGCAGACCGGUUACCAAAACAUUCCUACUGGUUGGAUCUCUGGCUCUUCGUCCUCUUAGACGUGGUGUUGUUUUUCUUCGUGUAUUUUUUGCCCUGAAUGGUUUGCCUGAUACCUAAAUUAAGAAUUUUGGCUCCUGGAGUGGAUCCUGAAAAUGACUACAAACUUCUAGAACAAAGAAGACAGGAUUGUGCACCAGAAGAAUUUCAGACUCUAAGGGACCUUCAUUUCAUUUUACACAUUCUGUUAUUCUUUGCGGGAACUAUAUUAAAUGGGUAAUGAUCUCAGCCAUUCAUAGCUAAGUUCUUAAAACUCGGCUCUGAUUCACAUUUUAAAACUUUUUACAGAUUAUUUGGUGGCUUUACAGGGGCUGAACAUAAAAGGUAUUUAUACAUGAAGAUUUAUUAUACUCAUUAGGAAAUAGAUUGUUUUUCCUUUAACAUUUUAAGGGUUGGCCAAGGUUUAGUAUGAUGCAGAUAAUAUGGUGAAAUAAUAAAUUAUCCAAAAGCAAGGGAAGAAUUUUGAAAAAAGGAGUUAAAAGCUAUACAGAAAAUGCAGGUCCACAAUAUAUUUGCUGUAAGUGCCAGUUUAAUUUUUAGAUUAAGUGGACCUCUGUUAUGGUUGCUAGGUUGGUACAAUCUUAGAGAAAGUAUAUAAUAUCCAGUAAUGGAAGGCUAGAGUGCAUGGGGUCUUACCUGGAUGCUUCCCCUCACUUUUAAGCUCUUGAACUCUGUAAAGUAGGACUGUGUGUUUCAAACCUAAUUUUUAUUGUGGUUGCAUUAAGAAUGUUUGUGGCCAAAACAUGUUUAUUAUAAUGUCUGUAACUUACUUUAAUACUCCAGCAAAGUCACCAUAUUUACUCUUUGAGCAAAUGUUUGAGCACUUACUGUGGGCCAGGUACAACACUGAACGAAACAGACAAAAAUCCUUGCCUUUAUGGAGCUUACAUUCUUUUUUAUCUAAGUAUGUUAACAAGAAUUUAUUUCCCAGGAGUGAUCAGCUAGUAUUUAGUCAAAAAGGUCACAUUCCCAAAGCAGCUACUAUAAGCCCUUCAGAAGCUAUUCCUAUUAUAUAACAGAUGUUAGAAAUGGGCUCUUGUCCUUGAAAUUGGUGACAUUUUAUAUAUUGGAAUUGCCUAAAUAUUUUUCCCGUCCCUUAGAAGCAGGGUAUAGAUCUGGUAAACUCUACAUCCUCUGUUCUUCAGAAUGGCAUUUAGGGUUAGUGUGAAAUCUGGGAUUGAUUUUGGAGGCUUUUAGCCUAAUGCUGACUAUAAGUUUAACAAUUACGCCUUCAGAGAACCUAACAAACCUGCCUGAGGAGAACUUUUUAGGCAAGGUUGAAGCAUCUAGAGAAACAGAACUGGGAUUUCAUUGAGGGUACCAAACAGAUUGUAUGAAUUGUUUUGUGCUACUUGCUAGUAAUUUUGUCCAAUAAAUGUUGAUUAUACAGGUAAAUUGGGUCUGAUUUCAUUUUAACAAAUUACUUGUGUGUUAGGUCACACACAAAGAUUUAUAAUCCAUACUACCUUUCUGAGCCUAGAAUCAGCCUUCUACCACAACUAUUGAAUAUUCUGAAAAUUUCUAAUACAGGGAAGAUACUACUAAGAAGAAAGAUCGUAGUAUUGUGACAUGACUGUAAAUGGUAUCCAAAAUGGUGGCAGUAUGAGGUUUGAAUAUUUCCUACAGAUGAAAUUGUGCCUACCACUGAACUGUGCCAUCUCAGGGUAACAUAGUAUACUUGAAGGCUUUUAACUGGGUAAAUGGGACACCAAGAAGAAUUGGCGAACUUGCUGUGAUUAAAAAUAGAGACAUCAAAAGUAUUUACAUCAAUGUGACUUUAGUCUGAUAAAUUCCUUUGUAAAUUUCAUAUAAGUGAAAUGAUUGUUUUAAUAACCGUUUGAAAUCAACUGGCCAAUGAGCAAUUGUGAGGAAGUCUUUAGAGUUAUGUUAACCUGAAAAUUUUAGGAUGUGAAGUGCUCCAUAUACCUAGUCCCUAAAUGUAAUGGGAAUACAUUCAGAGACUACAGAAUAUUUAGUAAGGGCAUUUAACGUAGAGGUAAUUAUGCUCUAGGAAAAGGGUCAUCAAACUACACUAAUGUUUGAGGCCAAAACAUGUUUAUUAUAAUGUCUGUAACUUACUUUAAUACUCCAGCAAAGUAUUGCCUCUCUUUAAAGGCCUGUGAGCCAAGAAUGAUUUUUAACAUCUUAAAAUGAUUAAAAAAAGUCAAGACUAUUUCAUGAUGUG
Long non-coding RNA from Phocoena sinus (vaquita), 2438 nucleotides. NCBI's taxonomy places the organism in Eukaryota, Metazoa, Chordata, Mammalia, Artiodactyla, Phocoenidae. The record is from Ensembl.